GCCGAGAUAGCCAAGCGGAUUACGGCGCAGGCCUUGAGAGUCUGUGACUCAUUGAAUGCUUUCAAUGAAAGUCAUGUGGACAGUCGCGAGGGUUCGAAUCCCUCUCUCGGCG
RNAcentral lists this transfer RNA (112 nucleotides) under Candidatus Helarchaeota archaeon. RNAcentral describes it as "tRNA-Ser". It matches the Rfam family "tRNA". Rfam says of the family: Transfer RNA (tRNA) molecules are approximately 80 nucleotides in length. Lineage: Archaea; Promethearchaeati; Candidatus Helarchaeota. The record is from RNAcentral.